AAGAAAUUAUGGUUGAGUGACUUUUAUGAAAUAGCUCAUAAAAUUGAGUGAUCUCGAGUGAUAAUUACCCUCCAAAAUCCUUUGAUUAGUUAUACUCAAAUUUACAAGGGAAAGAAGAAGGAAUUGCAUUCCAUUUAGCAUGGACUGGAGAUUUGGCAGUAAGAGUUUUUCAUAUCUCUAAGGUAUUUAAGACCUAUAAAGUCCAGACUUGCUUUGAAAGAUCACCAAUUCUGAGAUAGGUAAGAAAGGACACUAAUAAUAGCGUUUCCUCAUUACUGCCAAUUACUGCCAAUAAUUAGCUCAGGUUUUUUGCAACUUAUGAUUUCUAGCAAUUCUUAUUAGGAGGGCAAACCACAUUCUGGAAAUGACUCUUGCUUUUGACAAUGAUCUAUUCUUGAAUGCAUAAGUGAAGGAAGGAGCAAUUGCAUAUGUUUUCAAAUCUGAGGAUUUGAAAAACUGAAGAUUUGUCAUAUUUGGGGCGUAUAAUCCUCCUAUUGGAAAAGAUACAAAAUUAAAGUAGUUGUUGAUUUCUAAGGAAGUGAGAGAUGUGAGUUCUCCAUGGCUCAACAUCAUAAUUUUACUUGGAGAAACAGAUUUUAGAUGGUUUGUUGUUGUGAAUUGAUUAUGGGGGAGCUUAGAAAUUUGGAUUGGGUUGUGUUAGAGAGAGAGAGCAAAGAGAAAGAGAG
Molecule: unclassified non-coding RNA, 686 nt
Filed under: Hevea brasiliensis (rubber tree)
Lineage: Eukaryota; Viridiplantae; Streptophyta; Magnoliopsida; Malpighiales; Euphorbiaceae
Source: RNAcentral